This 92-nucleotide small nuclear RNA is filed under the name Piliocolobus tephrosceles (Ugandan red Colobus). The record is from RNAcentral. Lineage: Eukaryota; Metazoa; Chordata; Mammalia; Primates; Cercopithecidae.
GUGCUUACUUUGGUAGGACAAAUACUAAAAUUGGAAUGACACAGAAAAGAUUAUCGUGGCACCUGUGCAAUGCUGAAGUAUUCCAUAUUUUU